UCAAGUUACAAAGGGCGCAGGGCGGAUGCCUUGGCACCAGGAGCCGAAGAAGGACGUGAUAAGCUGCGAAAAGCUGCGGGGAGGAGCAAAUAUCCAUUGAUCCGCAGGUAUCCGAAUGGGGAAACCCGGCAGAAAGAACUUCUGUCACCGUAUGAUGAAUCCAUAGUCAUACGGAGGGAACCCGGCGAACUGAAACAUCUAAGUAGCCGGAGGAAGAGGAAGAAACAUCGAAUCCCUAAGUAGUGGCGAGCGAAAGGGGACGAAGCCCAAACCAAGGAUUUAUCCUUGGGGUUGAGGACCACAUACGAAGAAGCAGUAGGUAGCAGAACGGUUUUGGGAAAGCCGGCCAAAGAGAGUGAAAGCCUCGUAUGCGAAACAGACUGUGAUUCAGUGGUAUCCGGAGUACUACGGGACACGAGAAACCCCGUAGGAAGCAGGGGGGACCACCCCCCAAGGCGAAAUACUACCUGGUGACCGAUAGAGUAUAGUACCGUGAGGGAAAGGUGAAAAGAACCCCGGGAGGGGAGUGAAAGAGAACCUGAAACCCUGUGUCUACAAGCUGCGGAAGCACGACUAACGUGCGACCGUGUACUUUUUGUAGAACGGUCCGGCGAGUUGCCGUUGCUGGCAGGUUAAGUACUUAAGGUACGGAGCCGAAGGGAAACCAAGUCUUAAUAGGGCGGUAAGUCAGUAACGGCAGACCCGAAACCGGGUGACCUACCCAUGGCCAGGAUGAAGUCUGCGUAAAAGUGGAUGGAGGUCCGAACACACGUCUGUUGAAAAAGGCGGUGAUGAGCUGUGGGUAGCGGAGAAAUUCCAAUCGAACUCGGAGAUAGCUGGUUCUCCCCGAAAUAGCUUUAGGGCUAGCCUCGGUAUAGUCUAAUGGAGGUAGAGCACUGAAUCGCUGCGGGGGCGUCAAAGUCUACCAAUGCGUAUCAAACUCCGAAUGCCAUAUAGAUGUUUACCGGGAGUCAGACUGUAUGAGAUAAGUCGGACAGUCAAAAGGGAAACAGCCCAGACCAUCUGCUAAGGUCCCAAAGUGUAUGUUAAGUGGUAAAGGAUGUGGGGUUUCGAAGACAACUAGGAUGUUGGCUCAGAAGCAGCCAUUCAUUCAAAGAGUGCGUAAUAGCUCACUAGUCGAGAGGUCCUGCGCCGAAAAUGUCCGGGGCUGAAACAUAACACCGAAGCAAUGGAAUAUACCGUAAGGUAUGUUGGUAGGGGAGCAUUGAUAACACGAAGAAGCGGUACCGUAAGGAGCCGUGGAGAGUUAUCAAGAGAGAAUGCCGGAAUGAGUAGCGAGAUGAAGGUGAGAAUCCUUCAGGCCGUAUAUCCAAGGUUUCCAGGGUAAAGCUGAUCUUCCCUGGGGAAGUCGGGACCUAAGCUCAGGCUGAGAAGCGUAGGCGAUGGACAACUGGUUGAUAUUCCAGUACCUCUGGCUAUCAGAAAUGUGGGGACACGGAGAUUCAGGGAGUGCCUGUAAAGGAUUCAGGUGCAAGCAUGGUUUAUGCCGGGCAGGCAAAUCCGUCCGGGUAAGUGAACUGUGUGAUGCGGACCGAAAUAUAAGUAGGGAAGCUCCUGGGAGAGCCGUCGAGAAAAGCCGCUAUUGUGUAGUCAGAGCCCGUACCGUAAACCGACACAGGUGGAUGGGGAGAGUAUCCCAAGGCCGGCGGGAGAAGCAUUGUUAAGGAACUCGGCAAAAUGGCCCCGUAAGUUCGCGAUAAGGGGUGCCUGUAGAGAUACAGGCCGCAGAGAAUAGGCUCAAGCAACUGUUUAGCAAAAACACAGGUCUAUGCGAAACCGUAAGGUGAUGUAUAUGGGCUGACGCCUGCCCGGUGCUGGAAGGUUACGGGGAGUGCUUAGGAGCAAUCCGAAGGUACGAACUUAAGCCCCAGUAAACGGCGGCCGUAACUAUAACGGUCCUAAGGUAGCGAAAUUCCUUGUCGGGUAAGUUCCGACCCGCACGAAAGGCGUAAUGAUUUGAGCGCUGUCUCAACAAUGCACCCGGUGAAAUUGAAGUACCAGUGAAGAUGCUGGUUACCUGCGCCAAGACGGAAAGACCCCAUGGAGCUUUACUCCAUCUUGGUACUGGGAUUAGAUAUAUGAUGUACAGGAUAGGUGGGAGACUAAGAAGCAGGGACGCCAGUUUCUGCGGAGUCAAUGUUGGGAUACCACCCUUCGUGUAUCUGGUUUCUAACCUUUGCCCGUUAUCCGGGCAGGGGACAAUGCCAGGAGGGGAGUUUGACUGGGGCGGUCGCCUCCGAAAGUGUAUCGGAGGCGCUCAAAGG
RNAcentral lists this ribosomal RNA (2285 nucleotides) under human metagenome. RNAcentral's name for it is "bacterial LSU rRNA". It matches the Rfam family "Bacterial large subunit ribosomal RNA", at positions 3 to 2316 of the family's 2925-position model. The record is from RNAcentral.